CAGUCUACCCAUCCAAAUGCUAAUCGCAUCUAAAAACACCCUCACAGACACAUCCAGAAUAAUGUUUGGCUAAGUGUCUGAGUACACCAUGGCCCAGUCGGGUUGACAUAUAAAAUAAAAUAUCACGGCAUGAAAAUGCUGUGAAAGGGAACUUAUGCUUUCUAAGAACACCCGGAGCAGAUGCAUAUAUUCACUUGACAAGCAUUUCCAAGCUCCAAAUCAGGAGAAAUUACUUUUUAACUUGAUGGAUAAAAAAAUUGAUACUAUUUUCAAGGAUCUCCUAGUUCAAUAAGAGAAACAGAGAUUAUUUGGGAAACUGCACAUUGCAACACAAUAGAGUUAUAUACAGGAUGCUGAAGGCACACAGACAAGGUGCCUGAAGGGAGCUGGAGCUGGGUUCUUGGAAGAGGUGAUAUAUGAUCUGUGUCAUAAAGGGACAACAAAACAGCACAAACAAGAAAUUACAAGUAGCAACAAAAUAAGGCAUUUAGCACCAAUGAAAUAAUAGCUCUAUGCACCAAUAUCUGGCAUUCAGUAAAUGUUAACCCUGGUCUGCCUUUACCUUUUCCCUUACUGUUGCUAUACUUUCUUUGCAGAGAUCAUGAGGUUUGCAAAUGUUAUACAAUAUUUGGUUAACAGAGAAGCACUACCAUAUAAUUCACUACUCUUAAAGAAGUCAUUUUUGCCUUGUAGAAACUGUACCUUAACAGAUGUUUCUGAGAGAAUUUAUUCAUCAUAUCAAGCAUUGCCUUGCAAUGUGGGAUGCUUUUCAAAAGCCCCUUUUGGGUGAACAGAUUGUGUUGCUGCUGAGUGAAUUCACAGGAAUGAGGCAAUCACUGUAAUUCAAACAAUUUCUCCUCAUUUAAGAGCACCAACUGUUUAUAUUAGUACUGACGUGAUCCAUUUAUGAAGCAUCUUAGCACAGUUGUCUCUGAAAAUUUUGGCUGUCAAAUGGUCAUCAGAACUGAGUUGGCUCUAAUUGCAAGCAAGAGCCCUUUGAUCUCUUUAUCAAAACCCUUACUGAAUAGCCACCAUGUUUGGGUUCAAUUGAAGGACUUGUGUGUGAUACCACUACAUGAGAAAAAUGUGGCCUCUUUUUUAUUCACUGAGCAGCGUUAUCAGAAUGCAGACCACAAUAUGCUGGCACUAGGGAUAUGGGGAUAAAUGAGAUACCCCACAACCAAGCAGUUCUCAGACUAAUAAAAGAGAGAGAUACAUAAAUGAAUUAUCACAUCAGAAAUUGCUCAUUUAAGCAACAUAUAUAGGAAUGGUGAUGUGCAGAGGAACGAAUCCUUUUUAUUGUAGAAAUUCACUAUGUAGAGAGAAGAAGAAAAGAAAUUUUAGAUAAUGGGGACCGCAUUGCCCUAGGAAAAUGUAGUAGGAAUCACUGUAUUUCAUUGAGAAAAAAGAAAAUGGGUUGGUAUAGUUGCAAUAUAUUGGAGAAGGGUAGGAGAUGAUGUUGAGAAGGCAGCCAAGGACUAAGUUAUACUUUGGAAUUGUG
RNAcentral lists this long non-coding RNA (1501 nucleotides) under Marmota monax (woodchuck). Lineage: Eukaryota; Metazoa; Chordata; Mammalia; Rodentia; Sciuridae. The record is from RNAcentral.